AAUUGGAGGGCAAGUCUGGUGCCAGCAGCCGCGGUAAUUCCAGCUCCAAUAGCGUAUAUUAAAGUUGUUGCAGUUAAAAAGCUCGUAGUUGAAUUUCGGGACUGACAGGUUGGUCGCGCCUUCGGUGUGUACUGGCCUAGUCGGUUUCUCCCUUCUGACGAACCACGAUGUCAUUAAUUUGGUGUCGUGGGGAAUCAGGACUGUUACUUUGAAAAAAUUAAAGUGUUUAAAGCAGGCUUAGGCUUGAAUACAUUAGCAUGGAAUAAUGAAAUAGGACGUUUGACCCUAUUUUGUUGGUUUCUAGGAUCGACGUAAUGAUUAAUAGGGAUAGUUGGGGGCAUUAGUAUUCAAUUGUCAGAGGUGAAAUUCUUGGAUUUAUUGAAGACUAACUACUGCGAAAGCAUUUGCCAAGGAUGUUUUCAUUAAUCAAGAACGAAAGUUAGGGGAUCGAAGACGAUCAGAUACCGUCGUAGUCUUAACCAUAAACUAUGCCGACUAGGGAUCGGAUGAUGUUAAUUUUAUAAUGACUCAUUCGGCGCCUUACGGGAAACCAAAGUGU
RNAcentral lists this ribosomal RNA (559 nucleotides) under uncultured Glomus. RNAcentral describes it as "SSU rRNA". It matches the Rfam family "Eukaryotic small subunit ribosomal RNA", at positions 546 to 1106 of the family's 1831-position model. Lineage: Eukaryota; Fungi; Glomeromycota; Glomeromycetes; Glomerales; Glomeraceae. The record is from RNAcentral.